AACAUUACUUAGUGGCGAACGGGUGAGUAACGCGUAGACAACCUGCCUCAAAGAUGGGGACAACACCGCGAAAGUGGUGCUAAUACCGAAUGUUGCAUUAGAUUCGCAUGAAUCUGAUACUAAAGGUGGCCUCUUUAAAUGCUACCGCUUUGAGAUGGGUCUGCGUCUGAUUAGCUAGUUGGUGAGGUAACAGCUCACCAAGGCGAUGAUCAGUAGCCGGUCUGAGAGGAUGAACGGCCACACUGGGACUGAGACACGGCCCAGACUCCUACGGGAGGCAGCAGUGGGGAAUCUUCCGCAAUGGACGAAAGUCUGACGGAGCAACGCCGCGUGAGUGAAGAAGGUUUUCGGAUCGUAAAGCUCUGUCUUUGAGGACGAAUGUGCUUAAUGUGAAUAAUGCUAAGUAAUGACGGUACUCGAGGAGGAAGCCACGGCUAACUACGUGCCAGCAGCCGCGGUAAUACGUAGGUGGCAAGCGUUGUCCGGAAUUAUUGGGCGUAAAGCGCGCGCAGGCGGGAUAUUAAGUCUGUCUUAAAAGUUCGGGGCUCUACCCCGUGAUGGGAUGGAAACUA
RNAcentral lists this ribosomal RNA (572 nucleotides) under uncultured bacterium. RNAcentral describes it as "bacterial SSU rRNA". It matches the Rfam family "Bacterial small subunit ribosomal RNA", at positions 84 to 635 of the family's 1533-position model. The record is from RNAcentral.